GAGGUACUCCCUCCGUCCGAAAAAAUUUGUCCCAAGCUUGUCUCUCAAAUGAAUGUAUCUAGAACUAAUUUGAUGCUAGAUACAUUUAUUUGGGGGACAAGCUUUUUUGGACAGAGGGAGUAUGGG
Molecule: non-coding RNA, 126 nt
Organism: Triticum aestivum (bread wheat)
Lineage: Eukaryota; Viridiplantae; Streptophyta; Magnoliopsida; Poales; Poaceae
Source: Rfam